RNAcentral lists this ribosomal RNA (433 nucleotides) under uncultured bacterium. Its description in RNAcentral is "partial 16S ribosomal RNA". It matches the Rfam family "Bacterial small subunit ribosomal RNA", at positions 29 to 507 of the family's 1533-position model. The record is from RNAcentral.
AACGAACGCUGGCGGCAUGCCUAACACAUGCAAGUCGAACGAGACCUUCGGGUCUAGUGGCGCACGGGUGCGUAACGCGUGGGAACCUGCCCUUAGGUUCGGAAUGACUCCCCGAAAGGGGUGCUAAUACCGGAUAAUGUCUUCGGACCAAAGAUUUAUCGCCUUUGGAUGGGCCCGCGUUGGAUUAGCUAGUUGGUAGGGUAAAAGCCUACCAAGGCGACGAUCCAUAGCUGGUCUGAGAGGAUGAUCAGACACACUGGGACUGAGACACGGCCCAGACUCCUACGGGAGGCAGCAGUGGGGAAUAUUGGACAAUGGGCGAAAGCCUGAUCCAGCAAUGCCGCGUGAGUGAUGAAGGCCUUAGGGUUGUAAAGCUCUUUUACCCGGGAUGAUAAUGACAGUACCGGGAGAAUAAGCUCCGGCUAACUCCGUG